Molecule: ribosomal RNA, 390 nt
Filed under: uncultured bacterium
Lineage: Bacteria
Description: bacterial SSU rRNA
Rfam family: Bacterial small subunit ribosomal RNA
Source: RNAcentral
AUUGAACGCUGGCGGCAUGCCUAACACAUGCAAGUCGAACGGCAGCACGGCAGUAGCAAUACUGUGGGUGGCGAGUGGCGGACGGGUGAGGAAUACGUCGGAAUCUGCCCAGUCGUGGGGGAUAACUAGCCGAAAGGUUAGCUAAUACCGCAUACGACCGAGAGGUGAAAGCGGGGGACCGCAAGGCCUCGCGCGAUUGGAUGAGCCGACGUCGGAUUAGCUAGUUGUGGGGUAAAGGCCCACCAAGGCGACGACCCGUAGCUGGUCUGAGAGGAUGAUCAGCCACACUGGAACUGAGACACGGUCCAGACUCCUACGGGAGGCAGCAGUGGGGAAUAUUGGACAAUGGGCGCAAGCCUGAUCCAGCAAUGCCGCGUGUGUGAGAAGGCC